This 55-nucleotide non-coding RNA is filed under the name unclassified sequences. The record is from Rfam.
UCGGGGCAUCGCAGGUUCCCGGCGUCGCAAAGACGGCUCCCCGUCCAAGUCCUGC